CAAUAGCGUAUAUUAAAGUUGUUGCGGUUAAAAAGCUCGUAGUUGGAUUUCUGCCGAGGACGACCGGUCCGCCCUGUGGGUGAGCAUCUGGAUCGGCCUGGGCAUCUUCUUGGGGAACGUAGCUGCACUUGACUGUGUGGUGCGGUAUCCAGGACUUUUACCUUGAGGAAAUUAGAGUGUUUCAAGCAGGCAUAAGCCAUGAAUACACAAGCAUGGAAUAAUAGAAAAGGACUAUGGUCCAUUUUGUUGGUUAUUGGACCUUAGUAAUGAUUAAUAGGGACAGUUGGGGGCAUUAGUAUUUAAUUGUCAGAGGUGAAAUUCUUGGAUUUAUUAAAGACUAACUUAUGCGAAAGCAUUUGCCAAGGAUGUUUUCAUUAA
Molecule: ribosomal RNA, 378 nt
Filed under: uncultured eukaryote
Lineage: Eukaryota
Description: partial 18S ribosomal RNA
Rfam family: Eukaryotic small subunit ribosomal RNA
Source: RNAcentral